Molecule: long non-coding RNA, 209 nt
Filed under: Elaeis guineensis (African oil palm)
Lineage: Eukaryota; Viridiplantae; Streptophyta; Magnoliopsida; Arecales; Arecaceae
Description: long non-coding RNA (EGUI_LNC065398)
Source: RNAcentral
GGGGGAUCGGCUGGCUUCGAGGUGGAAAUGGCUAGUGCAAGGGUGCACCAUUUGGGUCUCCCUGGAAUCGAUGCUGAAGGAGGUAGAGGAGCUCGUUUGGUGGUUCCCGGAGGUGGUGGAGCUUUUAGAGGAGGAGGUUAGGGUAGAUGCAAAGGGGUGGGCAGCCAUAGCGGUGGUGGCACGAAGUCUCGAUCGAAAAGUGGCGGUGG